AACUUUUUACAAUGGAUCUCUUGGCUCUCGCAUCGAUGAAGAACGCAGCGAAAUGCGAUACGUAAUGUGAAUUGCAGAAUUCAGUGAAUCAUCGAAUCUUUGAACGCACCUUGCGCCCCUUGGAAUUCCGAGGGGCACACCCGUUUGAGUGUCGUGAACAUCCUUCAACCUUUCUUGGUUUCUUAACCGGGGAAGGCUUGGACUUUGGGGGUCUUUCAUUGCUGGCCUCUUUGAAGCCAGCUCCUCCUAAAUGGAUUAGUGUGGUCUGCUUUGCCGAUCCUUGACGUGAUAAGAUGUUUCUACGUCUUGGGUUUCGCACUGUCGCUUUAGACCCCGCUUCUAACCGUCUUGCAUUCAAGACAGAGUUUUAAACCUUGACCUCAAAUCGGGUGAGACUACCCGCUGAACUUAAGCAUAUCAAUAAGCGGAGGCU
This 433-nucleotide unclassified non-coding RNA is filed under the name uncultured Russula. RNAcentral describes it as "sequence contains ITS2". The stretch from base 1 to 154 matches the Rfam family "5.8S ribosomal RNA". Lineage: Eukaryota; Fungi; Basidiomycota; Agaricomycetes; Russulales; Russulaceae. The record is from RNAcentral.